GUGCUCGCUUCAGCAGCACAUAUACUAAAAUUGGAACAAUACAGAGAAGAUUAGUAUGGCCCCUGCACAAGGGUGACACAUACAAAUUCAUGAAGCGUUCCACAUUUUU
Small nuclear RNA from Homo sapiens (human), 109 nucleotides. The record is from Ensembl. NCBI's taxonomy places the organism in Eukaryota, Metazoa, Chordata, Mammalia, Primates, Hominidae.